GUAAGGAAUAUUGGUCAAUGGACGAAAGUCUGAACCAGCCAUGCCGCGUGGAGGAUGAAGGUCCUCUGGAUUGUAAACUUCUUUUAUAUGGGACGAAAAUGGGGCUUUCUAGCUCAACUGACGGUACCAUAUGAAUAAGCACCGGCUAACUCCGUGCCAGCAGCCGCGGUAAUACGGAGGGUGCAAGCGUUAUCCGGAUUCACUGGGUUUAAAGGGUGCGUAGGUGGAUUGGUAAGUCAGAGGUGAAAUCUCCGGGCUCAACUCGGAAACUGCCUUUGAUACUAUCAAUCUUGAAUAUUGUGGAGGUUAGCGGAAUAUGUCAUGUAGCGGUGAAAUGCUUAGAUAUGACAUAGAACACCAAUUGCGAAGGCAGCUGGCUACACAUAUAUUGACACUGAGGCACGAAAGCGUGGGGAUCAAACAGGAUUAGAUACCCGAGUAGUCC
This 445-nucleotide ribosomal RNA is filed under the name uncultured bacterium. RNAcentral's name for it is "partial 16S ribosomal RNA". It matches the Rfam family "Bacterial small subunit ribosomal RNA", at positions 354 to 796 of the family's 1533-position model. The record is from RNAcentral.